This 695-nucleotide ribosomal RNA is filed under the name uncultured Pseudomonadota bacterium. Its description in RNAcentral is "bacterial SSU rRNA". It matches the Rfam family "Bacterial small subunit ribosomal RNA", at positions 94 to 784 of the family's 1533-position model. The record is from RNAcentral. Lineage: Bacteria; Pseudomonadati; Pseudomonadota.
AGUGGCGAACGGGUUAGUACAAGUUGGGUGACCUUCCCGGAAGUGGGGGACAACCCCGAGAAACCGGGGCUAAUACCGCAUACGGACUCAGGGCUGCGGCCUUGCGUCCAAAGCAGUGAUGCGCUUCCGGAUGGGCCCGACCCCCAUUAGCUAGUUGGUGAGGUAACGGCUCACCAAGGCUACGAUGGGUAGCUGGCUUGAGAGAGUGGUCGGCAACACGAGGACUGAGAUACGGCCUCGACUCCUACGGGGGGCAGCAGUCUAGAGGCUUCGGCAAUGGGCGAAAGCCUGACCGAGCGACGCCGCGUGCAGGAUGAAGGCCUUUGGGUCGUAAACUGCUUUCGACUGGGAAGAAUGCUCCGGUGGCGAACCGGGGAGAGACGGUACCAGGAGAAGAAGCCCCGGCUAACUUCGUGCCAGCAGCCGCGGUAAUACGAAGGGGGCAAGCGUUAUUCGGAUUCAUUGGGCGUAAAGGGCGCGUAGGUGGCUGGGCAAGUCCGGUGUGAAAACGCUACCGCUCAACGGAGCGAAUGCGCUGGAUACUGCUCAACUUGAGUACGGAAGAGGUUGGCGGAAUACCCGGUGUACCGGUGGAAUGGGUAGAGAUCGGGUAGAACACCCUGUGGCGAAGGCGGCCAACUGGUNCGGUACUGACACUGAUGCGCGAAAGCGUGGGGAGCAAACGGGAUUAGAUA